UCGACUAGCAUGCAGUCGAGAGGGGUCAAGCCCUCGCGCGAACUGCUCAGUAACACGUGGAUAACCUGACCUAGGGUGGAGGAUAACCCCGGGAAACUGGGGAUAAUACUCCAUAGGCUACGGAAGCUGGAACGCCCUGUAACCCAAAGCUCCGGCGCCCUAGGAUGGGUCUGCGGCCGAUUAGGUUGUUGUUGGGGUAACGGCCCAACAAGCCGAUCAUCGGUACGGGUUGUGGGAGCAAGAGCCCGGAGAUGGAUUCUGAGACAUGAAUCCAGGCCCUACGGGCGCAGCGGGCGCGAACACUUUACAAUGCGGGAACCCGUGAUAAGGGGACCCCGAGUGCCUGUACACGCAGGCUGUUCAGGUGUUUAAAACGCAUCUGGAG
RNAcentral lists this ribosomal RNA (385 nucleotides) under uncultured methanogenic archaeon. RNAcentral describes it as "bacterial SSU rRNA". It matches the Rfam family "Archaeal small subunit ribosomal RNA", at positions 40 to 435 of the family's 1478-position model. The record is from RNAcentral. Lineage: Archaea; Methanobacteriati; Methanobacteriota.